AACAAACGCUGGCGGCGUGCCUAAUACAUGCAAGCCGAACGGGGAAAGCUUUCGGGUGAGUACUAGUGGCGCACGGGUGAGUAACGCAUGGAUAAUCUGCCCUCGAAUGGGGAAUAACUAGUCGAAAGAUUAGCUAAUACCGCAUAAGACCACGACUACUGAGGUAGUUGGGGUCAAAGGAGCAAUUCGUUUGAGGAUGAGUCCGCGUAAGAUUAGCUAGUUGGUGAGGUAAUGGCUCACCAAGGCGAUGAUCUUUAACUGGUCUGAGAGGAUGAUCAGUCACACUGGAACUGAGACACGGUCCAGACUCCUACGGGAGGCAGCAGUAGGGAAUAUUGGACAAUGGGGGCAACCCUGAUCCAGCGACGCCGCGUGAGCGAUGAAGGCCUUCGGGUCGUAAAGCUCUGUUGUAAGGGAAAAAGUUCUGAUUGUACCUUACGAGAAAGGAUCGGCUAACUUCGUGCCAGCCGCCGCAGUAA
This 479-nucleotide ribosomal RNA is filed under the name uncultured bacterium. RNAcentral describes it as "partial 16S ribosomal RNA". It matches the Rfam family "Bacterial small subunit ribosomal RNA", at positions 29 to 523 of the family's 1533-position model. The record is from RNAcentral.